RNAcentral lists this ribosomal RNA (1434 nucleotides) under uncultured organism. RNAcentral's name for it is "SSU rRNA". It matches the Rfam family "Bacterial small subunit ribosomal RNA". The record is from RNAcentral.
ACGCUAGCUACAGGCUUAACACAUGCAAGUCGAGGGGCAGCAUGGUCUUAGCUUGCUAAGGCCGAUGGCGACCGGCGCACGGGUGAGUAACACGUAUCCAACCUGCCGUCUACUCUUGGACAGCCUUCUGAAAGGAAGAUUAAUACAAGAUGGCAUCAUGAGUCCGCAUGUUCACAUGAUUAAAGGUAUUCCGGUAGACGAUGGGGAUGCGUUCCAUUAGAUAGUAGGCGGGGUAACGGCCCACCUAGUCUUCGAUGGAUAGGGGUUCUGAGAGGAAGGUCCCCCACAUUGGAACUGAGACACGGUCCAAACUCCUACGGGAGGCAGCAGUGAGGAAUAUUGGUCAAUGGGCGAGAGCCUGAACCAGCCAAGUAGCGUGAAGGAUGACUGCCCUAUGGGUUGUAAACUUCUUUUAUAAAGGAAUAAAGUCGGGUAUGCAUACCCGUUUGCAUGUACUUUAUGAAUAAGGAUCGGCUAACUCCGUGCCAGCAGCCGCGGUAAUACGGAGGAUCCGAGCGUUAUCCGGAUUUAUUGGGUUUAAAGGGAGCGUAGAUGGAUGUUUAAGUCAGUUGUGAAAGUUUGCGGCUCAACCGUAAAAUUGCAGUUGAUACUGGAUAUCUUGAGUGCAGUUGAGGCAGGCGGAAUUCGUGGUGUAGCGGUGAAAUGCUUAGAUAUCACGAAGAACUCCGAUUGCGAAGGCAGCCUGCUAAGCUGCAACUGACAUUGAGGCUCGAAAGUGUGGGUAUCAAACAGGAUUAGAUACCCUGGUAGUCCACACGGUAAACGAUGAAUACUCGCUGUUUGCGAUAUACGGCAAGCGGCCAAGCGAAAGCGUUAAGUAUUCCACCUGGGGAGUACGCCGGCAACGGUGAAACUCAAAGGAAUUGACGGGGGCCCGCACAAGCGGAGGAACAUGUGGUUUAAUUCGAUGAUACGCGAGGAACCUUACCCGGGCUUAAAUUGCAGAUGAAUUACGGUGAAAGCCGUAAGCCGCAAGGCAUCUGUGAAGGUGCUGCAUGGUUGUCGUCAGCUCGUGCCGUGAGGUGUCGGCUUAAGUGCCAUAACGAGCGCAACCCUUGUUGUCAGUUACUAACAGGUUCCGCUGAGGACUCUGACAAGACUGCCAUCGUAAGAUGUGAGGAAGGUGGGGAUGACGUCAAAUCAGCACGGCCCUUACGUCCGGGGCUACACACGUGUUACAAUGGGGGGUACAGAGGGCCGCUACCACGCGAGUGGAUGCCAAUCCCAAAAACCUCUCUCAGUUCGGACUGGAGUCUGCAACCCGACUCCACGAAGCUGGAUUCGCUAGUAAUCGCGCAUCAGCCACGGCGCGGUGAAUACGUUCCCGGGCCUUGUACACACCGCCCGUCAAGCCAUGGGAGCCGGGGGUACCUGAAGUGCGUAACCGCGAGGAGCGCCCUAGGGUAAAACUAG